AAAACAUGUCUUUUUGUUUAUAUAAAAAGUCAAGCCUGCCCGGUGAAUUAUUUAACGGCCGCGGUAUAUUGACCGUGCAAAGGUAGCAUAAUCAUUAGUUUUUUAAUAGGGGACUGGUAUGAAAGGUUUAACGAAACAUAAACUGUCUUAUUUUUAUUUUUAUAAUUUAACUUUUGAGUUAAAAGGCUUAAAUUUUUUUGAGGGACGAGAAGACCCUAUAGAGCUUUACAUUAUUUAUUUUAUUAAUAUAUUUUAAUAAUAAAGUACUAUUAUAAAUAUUGUUUUGUUGGGGUGACAAUUAAUAUUUAAUUAACUUUAAUUAUUUAAUUUACAUUAAAUUUAUGAUUAUUUGAUCCAAUAUUAUUGAUUAUUAGAAUAAGUUACCUUAGGGAUAACAGCGUAAUCUUUUUUCAGAGACCAAAUUUACAAAAAGGCUUGCGACCUCGAUGUUGGAUUAAGAUUAUAAUUAGGUGCAGUAGCUUAAUAAAUAGGUCUGUUCGACCUUUAAAUUCUUACGUG
Molecule: ribosomal RNA, 519 nt
Filed under: Microstigma rotundatum
Lineage: Eukaryota; Metazoa; Arthropoda; Insecta; Odonata; Coenagrionidae
Description: partial 16S ribosomal RNA
Rfam family: Bacterial large subunit ribosomal RNA
Source: RNAcentral